This 393-nucleotide ribosomal RNA is filed under the name uncultured bacterium. Its description in RNAcentral is "partial 16S ribosomal RNA". It matches the Rfam family "Bacterial small subunit ribosomal RNA", at positions 523 to 918 of the family's 1533-position model. The record is from RNAcentral.
AUACGGAGGAUGCAAGCGUUAUCCGGAUUUAUUGGGUUUAAAGGGUGCGUAGGCGGUUUGCUAAGCGGGAGGUGAAAUGCCGGCGCUCAACGUCGGAAGUGCCUCCCGAACUGGUGGACUUGAAUGACUCUGCCGUGGGAGGAAUGUGUAGUGUAGCGGUGAAAUGCUUAGAGAUUUCACAGAACACCGAUUGCGAAGGCAUCUCACGAAGGGUUGAUUGACGCUGAGGCACGAAAGCGUGGGGAUCAAACAGGAUUAGAUACCCUGGUAGUCCACGCAGUAAACGAUGAUGGCUAACCGCUGGGCUUAUCAGUUCAGUGGCCAAGCGAAAGCGAUAAGCCAUCCACCUGGGGAGUACGACCGCAAGGUUGAAACUCAAAUGAAUUGACGGGG